This 378-nucleotide ribosomal RNA is filed under the name Sphaerorhinus villulosus. Its description in RNAcentral is "partial 16S ribosomal RNA". It matches the Rfam family "Bacterial large subunit ribosomal RNA", at positions 1856 to 2546 of the family's 2925-position model. The record is from RNAcentral. Lineage: Eukaryota; Metazoa; Arthropoda; Insecta; Coleoptera; Curculionidae.
GGCCUGCCCAAUGAUAUUUAAAUGGCCGCGGUAUUUUGACCGUGCAAAGGUAGCAUAAUCAAUAGUUUUUUAAUUGAAAGCUGGAAUGAAAGGUUUGAUGAGAAAAUGACUGUCUCUAUUUAAAUUUGUUAAAAUUUUAUUUUUAAGUAAAAAAGCUUAAAUAUUAAUAAAAGACGAGAAGACCCUAUAGAGUUUUAAUUUGAUUGGGGCGAUUGAAAAAUUAAAUAAACUUUUUUUAUAUAAAUCCAUUAAUUUAUGAAUAAAUGAUCCUUAUUUUAAGAUUAGAAGAGUAAAUUACCUUAGGGAUAACAGCGUAAUUCUUUUAAAGAGUUCAAAUCGAAAAAAGAGAUUGCGACCUCGAUGUUGGAUUAAAAUUAA